Molecule: ribosomal RNA, 254 nt
Filed under: uncultured bacterium
Lineage: Bacteria
Description: partial 16S ribosomal RNA
Rfam family: Bacterial small subunit ribosomal RNA
Source: RNAcentral
UACCAGCACCCCGAGUGGUCGGGACGUUUUAUUGGGCCUAAAGCAUCCGUAGCCGGUUCUACAAGUCUUCCGUUAAAUCCAACUGCUUAACAGGUGGGCUGCGGAAGAUACUAUAGAGCUAGGAGGCGGGAGAGGCAAGCGGUACUCGAUGGGUAGGGGUAAAAUCCGUUGAUCCAUUGAAGAACACCCGUGGCGAAGGCGGCUCUCUGGGACGGUACUGACGCUGAGACGCGAAAGCGUGGGGAGCGAACAGG